This 322-nucleotide ribosomal RNA is filed under the name uncultured bacterium. Its description in RNAcentral is "bacterial SSU rRNA". It matches the Rfam family "Bacterial small subunit ribosomal RNA", at positions 9 to 314 of the family's 1533-position model. The record is from RNAcentral.
GAGUUUGAUCGUGGCUCAGGAUGAACGCUGGCGGCGUGCCUAACACAUGCAAGUCGAACGGAGCACCCCGGAACGAGACUUCGGUCAAGGGAAGGGAAUGCUUAGUGGCGGACGGGUGAGUAACGCGUGAGGAACCUGCCUUCCAGUGGGGGAUAACACAUCGAAAGGUGUGCUAAUACCGCAUAACGUAUGUUUACCGCAUGGUAGAGAUACCAAAGAUUUAUUGCUGGAAGAUGGCCUCGCGUCCAAUUAGCUAGUUGGCGGGUAAAUGCCCACCAAGGCGACGAUUGGUAGCCGGACUGAGAGGUUGAACGGCCACAUU